GAUGAACGCUGGCGGCGUGCUUAACACAUGCAAGUCGAACGAAGCACUUUAUUUGAUUUCCUUCGGGACUGAUUAUUUUGUGACUGAGUGGCGGACGGGUGAGUAACGCGUGGGUAACCUGCCUUGUACAGGGGGAUAACAGUUGGAAACGGCUGCUAAUACCGCAUAAGCGCACAGCAUCGCAUGAUGCAGUGUGAAAAACUCCGGUGGUGUAAGAUGGACCCGCGUUGGAUUAGCUAGUUGGUGAGGUAACGGCCCACCAAGGCGACGAUCCAUAGCCGACCUGAGAGGGUGACCGGCCACAUUGGGACUGAGACACGGCCCAAACUCCUACGGGAGGCAGCAGUGGGGAAUAUUGCACAAUGGGCGAAAGCCUGAUGCAGCGACGCCGCGUGAGCGAAGAAGUAUUUCGGUAUGUAAAGCUCUAUCAGCAGGGAAGAUAAUGACGGUACCUGACGAAGAAGCACCGGCUAAAUACGUG
Molecule: ribosomal RNA, 481 nt
Filed under: uncultured bacterium
Lineage: Bacteria
Description: partial 16S ribosomal RNA
Rfam family: Bacterial small subunit ribosomal RNA
Source: RNAcentral